This 253-nucleotide ribosomal RNA is filed under the name uncultured bacterium. RNAcentral describes it as "partial 16S ribosomal RNA". It matches the Rfam family "Bacterial small subunit ribosomal RNA", at positions 524 to 776 of the family's 1533-position model. The record is from RNAcentral.
UACAGAGGUCUCAAGCGUUGUUCGGAUUCAUUGGGCGUAAAGGGUGCGUAGGUGGCGCGGUAAGUCGGGUGUGAAAUUUCGGAGCUUAACUCCGAAACUGCAUUCGAUACUGCCGUGCUUGAGGACUGGAGAGGAGACUGGAAUUUACGGUGUAGCAGUGAAAUGCGUAGAGAUCGUAAGGAAGACCAGUGGCGAAGGCGGGUCUCUGGGCAACAACUGACGCUGAGGAGCGAAAGCGUGGGGAGCGAACAGG